Molecule: long non-coding RNA, 1560 nt
Filed under: Sus scrofa (pig)
Lineage: Eukaryota; Metazoa; Chordata; Mammalia; Artiodactyla; Suidae
Description: lncRNA (ENSSSCG00060073528.1, ENSSSCG00180011504.1)
Source: RNAcentral
AUCAUAAGUCAAAAAAUGCAUUUAAUGCACCUAAUGUACCAAACAUCAUGGCCCAGCCUAGCCUACCUUAAAUGUGCUCAGAGCACUUACAUUUGCCUACAGUUGGGCAAAAUCAUCUGACACAAAGCCUGUCUUAGGAUAAAUGGUUAAGUAUCUCAUGUAUUUUACUGUACUGAAAGUGAAAAACAAUUGUUGUGUGGAUACAGAAUGGUUGUAAGUGUGCAGGUUGUUUACUCUCAUGAUUGCUGGCUGGCUGUCAGACAUGGCAGCGUCACGAGCGAGGAUUGUCCCAUACAUAGACAGCCUGGAAAAGAUCAAGUUCAAAAUUCAAAGCGUAUUCUCUAAAGAACACAUCACUUUCACACCAUCCUUGAGUCAAACCAUCAUCAGUUGGAACUAAGUACAUAAAACUUACUAAACAAACUUAAAAAUCAUUUGUUGUUCAUCCAAAUUUGAAAUUGGACUAGGAGUCCUGUAUUUUAUCUUAACGACCCUACUUCAUCCUCUUCUUGUUCUCUGACCUGUGCUGGGAACACUAGCAUAUAACCCUAAAUCUAUUUCUUUCUCUGUAAGCUUUUUUGGAAAGGGCAUCUAUCACAUCAGUGGUUCUCAAAGUAUGGUCCUGGACUAGCACCUGGAAAACAGACAGAAAAUACACAUUCUCAGCUUUUGACCCAGUCAUACAGAAUCAGGUCUUUUGGGGGUGGGGCCCAGUGCUCUUUGUGUUUUAAGAGGACCGUCAGUUGUUUUUUUUUGGUGAUUGUUGUUCGUUUGUUUUUUAGGGCUGCACCCGCGGCAUAUGGAGGUUCCCAGGCGAGGGGUGGAAUCAGAGCACAGCCGCCGGCCUACACCACAGCUCACAGCAAUGCCAGAUCCUUAACCCACUGAGUGAGGCCAGGGAUUGAACCUGCAACCUCAUGGUUCCCAGUCGGAUUCGUUUCCGCUGUGCCGUGACGGGAACUCCAGGAUCCUGUAUUUUCAUUUGUUAAGUUUGGCAACUGUUCCACAGGGUUUUUGUAAAAGCCUUAUUAGCUCUAUUAACCCUGUUUUAGAGAUGAAGGAAUUGAGGCACAAAGAGAUGAAGCAACCUACUCAUGGUCACAUAGCCUGGUUUGAAUCUAGGCUGUAGGAUCCCUGAAACCUGCCCAUAAUCACUAGACACAUCCUGUGCCUACUGUCUGUGAAUAACCCAGCAUGUGGUGCUGUGCCACCACGGGAACUCCCCUUCAGUGAGGAUUUAAAUUGGGAGAACCACUGGUUUAAACAAUCACUUCUAAGAUGUUGCCUCCCAGAUCUUUAUCAUUAACCCUGAUUUCAUACCCACACUUCCCUCUAGCAUUUCAAACUGGGAAUAUCCUGUGGAAUGUUACAAUAUGGGGGGUGGGGGUGGGAAUAGCCCUAUAGGAGUUCCUGCUAUGGCUCAAUGGGCUCAGUGGCAUUUCUGGAGUGCUGGGUUGCAGGUUCAAUCCCCGGCCUGGCACAGUGGCUCAGGGAUCCAGUGUUGUGCGCAGAUCCGAUGCCUGGGCUGGGAAUUCCAUAUGCCACAGGAAAAAAAAAAAA